UUUCCAUCUUUCUAGCGAAGGAAGCUGCUAAGUAUUUCUGCCCUGGUGAGUUGUAUCCUUUUCUUCUCCAUGUCCAGUUUCCUUCUUUUUUCUCUGUCUCGUAUGUGAUUAAAUCAUUAAACUCUGACUGUCCUGAAUCAUUUUAUCUAGUCAAGCUAAGGAUGCUAAUAUGUCCUAAACAAUUAGGGGCUUGCUUAUUCCUGAAAAGCAGUUGCUUUUUUGGACAAGCAUCUGAGGCAUCGAUGAAUCCAACAUGACAGCCUUUCAGCAUUUCAUUCUUUGGCUGUCACCAGAGUUCAUAAUGUUAGAUCCUACUGUAAUAUAAGUCAAAUGCAAUGUUCCCUGCAUAAUGAAUUUUGAAAUAGCAUGCUUGUUCUUCAAACGUAGGACUAAUUAAUAUGUUUCGAUGCCUGAGUAUUAACAAGUCAAAACCCUUUCUCCUGAUGAUGAGAAACCAGCAAAGGUACUUUCUGCAUUUAAAUAUGGUUGCAUGAAGACAGUCUCAGGUGACUGCUUACCUGAUGUCUGAGUUUCAUUACAAACUCAUUAAUCACAGAGGAUGCAAUUUGCAUCUUUUUUUUCCUUUUUUGCUUGUCAACGAUAAUGCACUUUCCUUCACAUAUUUCCAUACAAUGUGUGUGGACUCAUGGCCGAAGUUAGUGAUGGAUGCUCAAGUGCUUAUGAUUCGACCUCCCUACAGGAUGUCUGUCUUCUG
RNAcentral lists this long non-coding RNA (715 nucleotides) under Phoenix dactylifera (date palm). RNAcentral describes it as "long non-coding RNA (PDAC_LNC011306)". The record is from RNAcentral. Lineage: Eukaryota; Viridiplantae; Streptophyta; Magnoliopsida; Arecales; Arecaceae.